Molecule: ribosomal RNA, 497 nt
Filed under: uncultured bacterium
Lineage: Bacteria
Description: partial 16S ribosomal RNA
Rfam family: Bacterial small subunit ribosomal RNA
Source: RNAcentral
GAUGAACGCUGGCGGCGUGCCUAAUACAUGCAAGUCGAGCGAACGGACGAGAAGCUUGCUUCUCUGAUGUUAGCGGCGGACGGGUGAGUAACACGUGGAUAACCUACCUAUAAGACUGGGAUAACUUCGGGAAACCGGAGCUAAUACCGGAUAAUAUUUUGAACCGGAUGGUUCAAAAGUGAAAGACGGUCUUGCUGUCACUUAUAGAUGGAUCCGCGCUGCAUUAGCUAGUUGGUAAGGUAACGGCUUACCAAGGCAACGAUGCAUAGCCGACCUGAGAGGGUGAUCGGCCACACUGGAACUGAGACACGGUCCAGACUCCUACGGGAGGCAGCAGUAGGGAAUCUUCCGCAAUGGGCGAAAGCCUGACGGAGCAACGCCGCGUGAGUGAUGAAGGUCUUCGGAUCGUAAAACUCUGUUAUUAGGGAAGAACAUAUGUGUAAGUAACUGUGCACAUCUUGACGGUACCUAAUCAGAAAGCCACGGCUAACUACGUG